GUGGCGAAGGCGGCUGUCUGGUCUGUAACUGACGUGAGGAGGGAGGUGUGGGUAGCAAACAGGAUUAGAUACGGAGAGGCCCCUAAACGAUGAACGCUAAGUGUUGGAGGGUUUCCGCCCUUCAGUGCUGCAGCUAACGCAUAAAGAGGGCGGCCUGGGGGAGUAUUUCCGCAAGGUUGAAACUCAAAGGAAUUGACGGGGGCCCGCACAAGCGGUGGAGCAUGUGGUUUAAUUCGAAGCUACGCGAAGAACCUUACCAGGUCUUGACAUCUUCUGCCAAUCUAAGAGAUAAGACUUUCCCUUCGGGGACAGAAUGACAGGUGGGUGAUGGUUGUCGUCAGCUCGUGUCGGGGAGAUGUGGGGUUAUUCUCCCUAUUUGGCAACCCCUUAUUUUUUUUUUUCUAGAUUAGGUGGGCACUCUUGUGAAAUGCCGGGGAAAAACCGGGGAAAGGGGGGGGACGACAAAACAUAUGCCCCUUAUGACUGGGGCAAAA
Molecule: ribosomal RNA, 494 nt
Filed under: uncultured Lactobacillales bacterium
Lineage: Bacteria; Bacillati; Bacillota; Bacilli; Lactobacillales
Description: partial 16S ribosomal RNA
Rfam family: Bacterial small subunit ribosomal RNA
Source: RNAcentral